GGGGCUGUAGCUCAGUGGCAGAGCACUUGCCUAGCAUGCGUGAGGCACUGGGUUUGAUCCUCAGCACCA
RNAcentral lists this transfer RNA (69 nucleotides) under Marmota marmota marmota (Alpine marmot). It matches the Rfam family "tRNA". Rfam says of the family: Transfer RNA (tRNA) molecules are approximately 80 nucleotides in length. Their secondary structure includes four short double-helical elements and three loops (D, anti-codon, and T loops). RNAcentral also lists the same sequence under 4 other names. The record is from Rfam by way of RNAcentral. Lineage: Eukaryota; Metazoa; Chordata; Mammalia; Rodentia; Sciuridae.